GCGGGAGUGGUGGAAUCGGUAGACACGCAGGAUUUAGGUUCCUGUGCUCAGGCGUGAGGGUUCGAGUCCCUCCUUCCGCA
RNAcentral lists this transfer RNA (80 nucleotides) under Curtobacterium sp. ISL-83. It matches the Rfam family "tRNA". Rfam says of the family: Transfer RNA (tRNA) molecules are approximately 80 nucleotides in length. Lineage: Bacteria; Bacillati; Actinomycetota; Actinomycetes; Micrococcales; Microbacteriaceae. The record is from Rfam by way of RNAcentral.